Long non-coding RNA from Dendronephthya gigantea, 467 nucleotides. RefSeq lists it as uncharacterized. The record is from RefSeq and is a predicted model, not a curated record. Lineage: Eukaryota; Metazoa; Cnidaria; Anthozoa; Malacalcyonacea; Nephtheidae. The transcript is spliced from 3 exons.
UCAAGGGCAUGCAAAUGAAACGCCAUGAAACACAAGGACGCCGGAAUAAAAGCAGGCGUUUUUAGGCAACUCUGCACAUAUUGUUUCCAAAGCUCCAUUAUCGAAGGUGUUCAGAGUCAUCGUGAAGGGAAAGAUGAAGAUUGUCUUACUCGCUCUUGUUUGUAUCCAUGUCAUUUUUGCGUCCGAGCGCCGUGCACUUUGUUCCCCAAAGAACAUUAAAAUAUGCUCAUAUGGUGAUUUUUCAACGUGUUACUGGGACUGUGUAAGAUGUUCUGAAAACUAUUCUCAAUGUCCAGGGGACUCUCACUCCAUCGAAUGCUAUAAGGUCUGCAAAUAUGCGAAGGGGAGAUUCGUGAGAAUCUGGCAUCAUGGAAGGGAAAUCAUCAAUUGAUAACGCAUUAUGAAUAUUGAAUAUAUGCAGCGAUUCAAUAUAGACUCAACUUAUACCAAAUGAAAUUAUAACUGCA